CCUUUUGGUUUCCUGUACCUAUCUCCAUAUUUCCCGAAUUGAUUCGUACCCCCUUGUUCGUGGACAGAAUAGAGCAUGUGUGGUCCCCCCUUUUAUAACCUUCGGACACUGACCACCCCUGGCUCGUUAACUUCAAAGGAACAAUUAAGUCAAGUGCUUUCCCUAGGUGGCCACCAUUCGGAUAACCGAACAUGUGCUCUAGUG
Non-coding RNA from Pelobates cultripes (western spadefoot toad), 204 nucleotides. The record is from the annotation of a GenBank genome assembly. Lineage: Eukaryota; Metazoa; Chordata; Amphibia; Anura; Pelobatidae.